UACGUAGGUGGCAAGCGUUGUCCGGAAUUAUUGGGCGUAAAGCGCGCGCAGGCGGCCUCUUAAGUCUGAUGUGAAAGCCCCCGGCUCAACCGGGGAGGGCCAUUGGAAACUGGGAGGCUUGAGUAUAGGAGAGAAGAGUGGAAUUCCACGUGUAGCGGUGAAAUGCGUAGAGAUGUGGAGGAACACCAGUGGCGAAGGCGACUCUUUGGCCUAUAACUGACGCUGAGGCGCGAAAG
This 236-nucleotide ribosomal RNA is filed under the name uncultured bacterium. RNAcentral's name for it is "partial 16S ribosomal RNA". It matches the Rfam family "Bacterial small subunit ribosomal RNA", at positions 524 to 759 of the family's 1533-position model. The record is from RNAcentral.